GAUUUAUGUCACAAAUUGACAUAAAAAGUAUCAAUUAAUAUCUAAAUUAUCUAACUUUAUUAGGAAAUUGAUAUUUGUUAUUAUAUUUUGCAGAAGAAGAGAUCAUCAAUAGAAAGAACAAGGAAAGAGGAUUCCAACGGUGUAAAUUUUACGCAAAAUGGAGUUAAAUUGACCCAGGAAUUGAAGAAUGAAGAAAGAAGAC
This 202-nucleotide long non-coding RNA is filed under the name Elaeis guineensis (African oil palm). Its description in RNAcentral is "long non-coding RNA (EGUI_LNC081590)". Lineage: Eukaryota; Viridiplantae; Streptophyta; Magnoliopsida; Arecales; Arecaceae. The record is from RNAcentral.